RNAcentral lists this long non-coding RNA (636 nucleotides) under Hordeum vulgare. Its description in RNAcentral is "long non-coding RNA (HVUL_LNC018698)". The record is from RNAcentral. Lineage: Eukaryota; Viridiplantae; Streptophyta; Magnoliopsida; Poales; Poaceae.
GAAUAUUAUUAGUUUUGUGUGCAACUUAUCUUAGAGUGACCAUGUAUGUCAGUAUACUCAAGUAACUGAAUGUAUUCACGUUAACUAUGUUAAGUACUAGUAGAUUCAGAAAUUUAGUUCAUAGAAUUAUUGGUAGGAGCAGUAAACGAGUCAAACAAAAAUAUCCAUAUGCAAAUGUCGGUCUAUGUUUGAUUCAAUUUGGUUUUCUCUGCUACUGAAGCUCCUAUCCGGUCUAAUGUUUUUUGUUUUGUCUCUUUUUCUGUUGCUAGGAAAGUGAUGAGAAGAUGUCGAUGAUGCCUACUGGGGACAUUCAAAUCAACACAACAUAAAAAUUUCUGAACCUAUGUCUCAUAGGAGAGUGGAAUGAACUCCAUUGUUAGCAGAUGUGUCAUUGUUUUAUUUUGCAAUUAUGUCCGCUCUUGCUAUAUUCCUAUGUAAGGAAAUGUAUUUAUGAGAUGAUUUAUUGUGUUAUGUAAACCUGAGAGAUGUAUUAUGUGAUGUUAUAUGAUGGAUGAUUUUAAUUUGAGUUGGAGUAUUCUUGAUUUGAAUAUGAAAUAGUGUUGGAUUUAAUAUUGGACAAAUAAUUGGGUUGCAAAGGCCCAACAAAUAGAAAUGAAACCAAGUUCAGGAACAAAA